Molecule: ribosomal RNA, 424 nt
Filed under: uncultured bacterium
Lineage: Bacteria
Description: bacterial SSU rRNA
Rfam family: Bacterial small subunit ribosomal RNA
Source: RNAcentral
UGGGGAAUCUUGCACAAUGGAGGAAACUCUGAUGCAGCGACGCCGCGUGAGCGAUGAAGCCCUUCGGGGUGUAAAGCUCUUUCGACGGGAACGAUAAUGACGGUACCCGAAGAAGAAGCUGCGGCUAACUACGUGCCAGCAGCCGCGGUAAUACGUAGGCAGCGAGCGUUGUUCGGAGUUACUGGGCGUAAAGGGUGUGUAGGCGGUUCUUUAAGUUUGGUGUGAAAUCUCCCGGCUCAACCGGGAGGGUGCGCCGAAUACUGAGGGACUAGAGUGCGGGAGAGGAAAGUGGAAUUCCUGGUGUAGCGGUGAAAUGCGUAGAUAUCAGGAGGAACACCGGUGGUGUAGACGGCUUUCUGGACCGUAACUGACGCUGAGACACGAAAGCGUGGGUAGCAAACAGGAUUAGAUACCCCCGUAGUCC